CACACACGCACACACGCCCAGCACGCGUUUCCCUGGCCAGGUGCCCCCUCGCCGGCGGCGCGGGGCCCGCGGGGAUGCGUCCCGGAGCGCGACACCGACGGAUAGACGGCGAGGGAGGGAGCCCGCCCCCCCAGCGCCUCCCGAGCGCCCGCAGCACCGACGCCGGGACCCCGCCGAAGGUGCGCCCGGCGCGGCUCGGGCCAGGACGUCCCGGGUUCUCCGCUCACCUUAACGUUGCUGAAGAUAGAGCGGGGACAGCGGCCGGCUCGGCCCGCAGAGGCGCCGCUGCCCUGGCGCGCGCCGGGCUCGGCCCCCCUGGAGUCAACAGAGAAGGCAACGUCGUCUCAUUUCACAGAUGAGAAAACAGAGGUCCUGAGAGGUGAAGUCAGUGGCCCUGAGCCCCCUGCCAGGAAGUGAACUUUCUGGUCUGAGUCUGGGCCCCUCAACUUCUCGGCACUGUUCCUUCAAACUCACUGCUCCAGGGACCAGAGCAUUUCCCUCCAAGGAAGGAAGAAAGUAUUUUCUCUGAGAAGAGCUUCACACCUGAGUCAAGCUCGCAGGCACCCAGUCUGCUCGUCCUAUUUAAUGCGCCAGAGCUUCAUCUCUUAACAUGUAUUUGCUAAAUAAAGUUACUUCUCCCUGCA
Molecule: long non-coding RNA, 644 nt
Organism: Balaenoptera ricei (Rice's whale)
Lineage: Eukaryota; Metazoa; Chordata; Mammalia; Artiodactyla; Balaenopteridae
Exons: 2
Source: RefSeq, a predicted model, not a curated record